CCUACGGGGGGCAGCAGUGGGGAAUAUUGGGCAAUGGCCGAAAGUCUGACCCAGCAACGCCGCGUGAAUGAAGAAGGUCUUCGGGUUGUAAAGUUCUUUUCUAAGGGAGGAAGAAAGUGACGGUACCUUAGGAAUAAGCCUCGGCUAACUACGUGCCAGCAGCCGCGGUAAUACGUAGGAGGCGAGCGUUAUCCGGAUUGACUGGGCGUAAAGGGUGCGUAGGUGGUUUGGCAAGUUAGUUGCGUAAGUCCCAGGCUCAACCUUGGAAUUACCACUAAAACUGUUUGACUUGAGUGCAGGAGGGGCAGCCGGAAUUCCUAGUGUAGCGGUGGAAUGCGUAGAUAUUAGGAGGAACACCAGUGGCGAAGGCGGGUUGCUAGACUGUAACUGACACUGAGGCACGAAAGCGUGGGGAGCAAACAGGAUUAGAUACCCGUGUAGUC
This 443-nucleotide ribosomal RNA is filed under the name uncultured bacterium. RNAcentral describes it as "partial 16S ribosomal RNA". It matches the Rfam family "Bacterial small subunit ribosomal RNA", at positions 338 to 795 of the family's 1533-position model. The record is from RNAcentral.